Non-coding RNA from Desertifilum sp., 187 nucleotides. It matches the Rfam family "6S / SsrS RNA". From Rfam's summary of the family: E. coli 6S RNA was the first non coding RNA to be sequenced, but its function was unknown until recently. It consists of 184 nucleotides that fold into an extended hairpin structure with a large single-stranded internal bulge. The record is from Rfam. Lineage: Bacteria; Bacillati; Cyanobacteriota; Cyanophyceae; Desertifilales; Desertifilaceae.
AUUAGACUGCGGCGUUGGUGACUGCCAAUACUGUUUUAUGAUCUAUGCUUUGUGUUAUUCGGGAACCUCAAGGAUUGUAACGGCAGUAGACCGAGCGCGUACUCGGAAACUUUAAGUUACGGCAAAUGGUACCCACCUGGUUUUAACCAGGUCAAAAACUGAGGCAAGACGGCGUUGCGGUCAAUCC